GACGAACGCUGGCGGCGUGCUUAACACAUGCAAGUCGAACGGAAAGGCCCUGCUUUUGCGGGGUGCUCGAGUGGCGAACGGGUGAGUAACACGUGAGUAACCUGCCCUUGAAUUUGGGAUAACUUCAGGAAACUGGGGCUAAUACCGGGUAGGAGCUCCUGCUGCAUGGUGGGGGUUGGAAAGUUUCGGCGGUUGUGGAUGGAUUCGAGGGUUAUCAGCUUGUUGGUGGGGUAGUGGCUUACCAAGGCUUCGAGGGGUAGCCGGCCUGGGAGCGUGACCGGCCACAUGAGGCCUGAGAUACGCCCCAGACUCCUACGGGCGGCAGCAGUGGGGAAUAUUGCACAAUGGGCGGAAGCCUGAUGCAGCAACGCCGCGUGCGGGAUGACGGCCUUCGGGUUGUAAACCGCUGUCGCCUGUGACGAAGCGUGAGUGACGGUAAUGGGUAAAGAAGCACCGGCUAACUACGUG
RNAcentral lists this ribosomal RNA (468 nucleotides) under uncultured bacterium. RNAcentral describes it as "partial 16S ribosomal RNA". It matches the Rfam family "Bacterial small subunit ribosomal RNA", at positions 28 to 507 of the family's 1533-position model. The record is from RNAcentral.